This 253-nucleotide ribosomal RNA is filed under the name uncultured bacterium. Its description in RNAcentral is "partial 16S ribosomal RNA". It matches the Rfam family "Bacterial small subunit ribosomal RNA", at positions 524 to 776 of the family's 1533-position model. The record is from RNAcentral.
UACGGAGGGUGCAAGCGUUAGUCGGAAUUACUGGGCGUAAAGGGUGCGUAGGUGGGAAUAUAAGUCGAAUGUGAAAUUCCGGGGCUUAACCUCGGAGCUGCAUUCGAAACUGUAUUCCUAGUCGGAUGGCGGAGAAAAUGGAAUUCCACGUGUAGCGGUGAAAUGCGUAGAUAUGUGGAAGAACACCUGUGGCGAAAGCGGUUUUCUAGCCUACCCGAGACACUGAGGCACGAAAGUAAGGGGAGCAAACAGG